GAUGAACGCUGGCGGCGUGCCUAAUACAUGCAAGUCGAGCGAACAGACGAGGAGCUUGCUCCUCUGACGUUAGCGGCGGACGGGUGAGUAACACGUGGAUAACCUACCUAUAAGACUGGGAUAACUUCGGGAAACCGGAGCUAAUACCGGAUAAUAUAUUGAACCGCAUGGUUCAAUAGUGAAAGACGGUUUUGCUGUCACUUAUAGAUGGAUCCGCGCCGCAUUAGCUAGUUGGUAAGGUAACGGCUUACCAAGGCAACGAUGCGUAGCCGACCUGAGAGGGUGAUCGGCCACACUGGAACUGAGCCACGGUCCAGACUCCUACGGGAGGCAGCAGUAGGGAAUCUUCCGCAAUUGGCGAAAGCCUGACGGAGCAACGCCGCGUGAGUGAUGAAGGUCUUCGGAUCGUAAAACUCUGUUAUUAGGGAAGAACAAAUGUGUAAGUAACUAUGCACGUCUUGACGGUACCUAAUCAGAAAGCCACGGCUAACUACGUG
RNAcentral lists this ribosomal RNA (497 nucleotides) under uncultured bacterium. RNAcentral's name for it is "partial 16S ribosomal RNA". It matches the Rfam family "Bacterial small subunit ribosomal RNA", at positions 28 to 507 of the family's 1533-position model. The record is from RNAcentral.